This 84-nucleotide transfer RNA is filed under the name Kiritimatiella glycovorans. It matches the Rfam family "tRNA". Rfam says of the family: Transfer RNA (tRNA) molecules are approximately 80 nucleotides in length. Their secondary structure includes four short double-helical elements and three loops (D, anti-codon, and T loops). Lineage: Bacteria; Pseudomonadati; Kiritimatiellota; Kiritimatiellia; Kiritimatiellales; Kiritimatiellaceae. The record is from Rfam by way of RNAcentral.
GCCGGAGUGGCGGAAUCGGUAGACGCACUGGACUCAAAAUCCAGCGGUAGCAAUACCGUGAGGGUUCAAAUCCCUCCUCCGGCA